CCUGCCAUCGUCUAGCGGCAAGGACACCCGGUUCUCAGCCGGUCGGCGCGGGUUCGAGUCCCGCUGGCAGUACCA
This 75-nucleotide transfer RNA is filed under the name Bradyrhizobium sp. CB3481. Its description in RNAcentral is "tRNA-Glu". It matches the Rfam family "tRNA". Rfam says of the family: Transfer RNA (tRNA) molecules are approximately 80 nucleotides in length. Their secondary structure includes four short double-helical elements and three loops (D, anti-codon, and T loops). Lineage: Bacteria; Pseudomonadati; Pseudomonadota; Alphaproteobacteria; Hyphomicrobiales; Nitrobacteraceae. The record is from RNAcentral.